UCUCAUUUAAACAAUGUAUUCCCUAACCACUAAUACAUCCUUGUAACCCUGAAGUUACGCCAGUGGGAUUAAAUUUCAACAAAACAAA
Molecule: non-coding RNA, 88 nt
Organism: Enterococcus durans ATCC 6056
Lineage: Bacteria; Bacillati; Bacillota; Bacilli; Lactobacillales; Enterococcaceae
Source: Rfam